GCCCUCUGCAAAGCUUCUAGACCAGGCAAAGUUCUUCAGCAGCAAACAAACUUGUCUCCAGAUUGGGUUUUGGUUGUACUAGUUUGACUGGAGCUUACAGUGUCCUUUUACCAGAGGAAGAUGGAAUUGCAGUCAUAAAAUAUGCUUUUGAGUGAAGUCCUAGUUGGAAAGUUAUGAUUCGUAUGAACAAUAAACUAUUUUUCUUUUGAUUUGUCAUAUUGUUUGAUGUUAUGAACUGCUCUAAUGUGCCACAUGACUGGACACAAGAAGAGCAAAUGCGGCCUCUGUUUUGGAAUUAAACUUAACGUUGGAAAAAUGAAUAACAACACCUCAACAUCUAAUGCAUUGGAAUUCAUUCAAAGAUUUAGUUCUAUAUCAAGUGCGUAAGAUACUUUUGUCGAUAGGCAAGCUUGUAUUGUGAAGAGCAAACUUUGCACUAUUAAAUCUCAACACCCAUAUAAAUCUUCUAAAAAUAUUUCUUUUCACAGUGUUAAAAGUUGAUUGCUUCAAAAAAUAACUAAUUGCAAGUGAACUUUUCCUUAGAGAUUAAUUUGUUGAGAGAGUUGGUGUAUUGGUUACUACUUGCCAACCUUCAAUGAUUUUUGUUGUUUUUUGGAAUUUUAGGCAGAGCAUCCCCACCUGUAGUGAGGUAAGUGGGAUAAGGUGUGAGAUGAACUUGAUAAAUAUUACUGAUAAGAAAAUGAAUUUGGUAAACAAUAAUACAGGGUGAGUAUGUUGAGCUUCUUCAUAUGAUGCAUAAAUUUGAACAUGCUUUUUAUAUGGCUUAACUAGCCAUCUAGGCUAUUUAGCCUUUCUUACUGGCUUCCUUUUAUGGGUUUUUGUUCUCUUCUUAUAGGAGCUUAGGUUGCACCAUGUCAAGUUAGAAGCACUGUUGAUCAUUGGGUGACUAAGAAUGGUGUCAUGCAUAAUUUGUAUGAAUAAUACAAUGAGUAUGAUGGUUCAUGCAUUUUACUAAGUGAUAGAUAAGUAUGAAUAGAUGAAGUUGCUUAUGUAAACUAAUCAAUUUUCUCAUUUUCAUGUUAUCUAUUUUUGUUUUCAUAUUUUUACUCCUAUCGACAUAGUAAAUGAGUAUUUCAAUUAGCAAUUGUGGAAUUUGGCAUGUGUAUACUUCACUCACUUGUCCUCAGUUGUUCUUGCUGAAAUCUUUUGUCAUUUUCUUUUUAUAUCAAUGGCGAAAAUUGUUUCAGGCAUUGAAGCGCUUACCUCGAGAUAAAAUCCAAUUAGCAACAAAAUUUGAUAUAUACAUGAUUACAGAAACAAAACAAAAUUUGUUAGCACAUGGUCUUUAAUAUCAAACUCUACAAAUGACCUUUUAUUGUGGUGGAUAGUGCUGUGGUUUUGAUAGCUUGAUCCAUGUUCCGAUUUUCCUAAUUUUUAUCUCGUUAGGGGGAAAAAAUGUCUUCGUACAAUACAAUUCCUUAUGUUAAUCAUAAUAUUUUUGGCUCUUAAUGUUCUUUAGGAGGGCUUACUUGGUUUAUAUGCUCUUAGGAAGGAUUGAGAAGUUGGGAUUAUGGUUUCCUAGAGGAUGUGAUUGUCCUGGCUUCCAUCUUAUUUGAAAAGUUUCAUGCCCCUUGUAUGUACAGGCAUUGGUGAUUUGAUUGAUCAUAGUCAAUUAUAUCCAAGCGAAAUUCAGAAUCAAGACCCAAGUAAAGCUUUUUGGAAACUUUUUUGCAAGCCUUGCUACAAAUCACACAUUGUCUCUUUCUCAGAGAUCAAUAAAACGUUUAAAUACAUGCUCAAAGGGGACGGCCUUCGCUGCAUCAUUCAAAUGGAAGAGUGAAACUUGAAGAAGCAAAAAAAAUUAAUUAUUUGUAGCUGGUUGAGUCAGCUCAAUUGGGUUACCUUUUUGAAACUUCAUUUGUAUCUGGUUUUUUUUAUUUCAUGAGGUGUUGAACCUUCUUGUAUCUUUCCAGUGGUUUGUAAAUGAUUGUAAUUGGUCGUUGUUUAAUUAAUGGUAAUCUUUUGUGAAUGAAAUUUCCAGUUUUUGGUAUUA
Molecule: long non-coding RNA, 2014 nt
Organism: Amborella trichopoda
Lineage: Eukaryota; Viridiplantae; Streptophyta; Magnoliopsida; Amborellales; Amborellaceae
Source: RefSeq, a predicted model, not a curated record